GAUGAAGAACGCAGCGAAAUGCGAUACUUGGUGUGAAUUGCAGAAUCCCGUGAACCAUCGAGUCUUUGAACGCAAGUUGCGCCCGAAGCCAUUAGGCCGAGGGCACGCCUGCCUGGGCGUCACACGUCGUUGCCCCCUCAUCUACUCCUUCGGGAUUGCGGGGGGCGGAUGAUGGCCUCUCGUGCGCCUCGUCGCGCGGUUGGCCUAAAUGCCAAGUCCUCGGCGACGCACGCCACGACAAUCGGUGGUUGCGAAACCUCGGUUGCCUGUCGUGUGCGGUCGUCGCGCAUCGAGGGCUCGAAAAAAUUGCCGGGCUUCGGCUCGACUUUCAACGCGACCCCAGGUCAGGCGGGGUUACCCGCUGAAUUUAAGCAUAUCAAUAAGCGGAGGA
Molecule: unclassified non-coding RNA, 391 nt
Filed under: soil metagenome
Description: partial contains 5.8S ribosomal RNA, internal transcribed spacer 2, and large subunit ribosomal RNA
Rfam family: 5.8S ribosomal RNA (bases 1-122)
Source: RNAcentral